RNAcentral lists this ribosomal RNA (543 nucleotides) under Triticum aestivum (bread wheat). RNAcentral's name for it is "partial small subunit ribosomal RNA". The record is from RNAcentral. Lineage: Eukaryota; Viridiplantae; Streptophyta; Magnoliopsida; Poales; Poaceae.
AUGGCGACGGACUACUUUGAGUGGUCGUUGAUCAUGAAGGUGAACAUGGAGGCCCAACACAUGUGGGACGCCAUCGAGGGAGGCGGGAGCUUCAGCCGGGACAGGGCGGCGCUUGCGGCAAUUCUGCAAGCCGUGCCGCAGGAGAUGCACUCCACGCUUGCCUUGAAGGCGACGGGAAAGGAGGCAUGGGAUGCCAUCAAGAUCAUGCGGGUCGGCGAUGCCAGCGUCCGUGAGGCCAAGGCGCAGACUCUCCUAAUGGAGUUUGAUGCCGUCCGCAUCGUCCGCAUGAGGAGCGGCGAGACACUCGACGAGCUCGCCAUACGCAUGAACGGGAUCGCCGACAAGCUGCACACGCUCAUCGAGAACCUCGACGAGGUGAAGGUCGUGAAGAUGCUUCUCCGCAUCGUGCCGUCCAGGUAUACCCAGGUAGCUAUUGCCAUUGAGAAGCUUCUUGAUCUUAAAACCAUGUCCAUGGAAGAGCUUGUGGGAAGGCUCAAAACGGCGGAGGGCCGGAGCGACUUGGAUGAGGGCGCCAGCAACUAG